RNAcentral lists this ribosomal RNA (563 nucleotides) under Alternaria limoniasperae. Its description in RNAcentral is "eukaryotic LSU rRNA". It matches the Rfam family "Eukaryotic large subunit ribosomal RNA", at positions 56 to 634 of the family's 3401-position model. The record is from RNAcentral. Lineage: Eukaryota; Fungi; Ascomycota; Dothideomycetes; Pleosporales; Pleosporaceae.
GAAAAGAAACCAACAGGGAUUGCCCUAGUAACGGCGAGUGAAGCGGCAACAGCUCAAAUUUGAAAUCUGGCUCUUUUAGAGUCCGAGUUGUAAUUUGCAGAGGGCGCUUUGGCUUUGGCAGCGGUCCAAGUUCCUUGGAACAGGACGUCACAGAGGGUGAGAAUCCCGUACGUGGUCGCUGGCUAUUGCCGUGUAAAGCCCCUUCGACGAGUCGAGUUGUUUGGGAAUGCAGCUCUAAAUGGGAGGUACAUUUCUUCUAAAGCUAAAUAUUGGCCAGAGACCGAUAGCGCACAAGUAGAGUGAUCGAAAGAUGAAAAGCACUUUGGAAAGAGAGUCAAACAGCACGUGAAAUUGUUGAAAGGGAAGCGCUUGCAGCCAGACUUGCUUACAGUUGCUCAUCCGGGUUUCUACCCGGUGCACUCUUCUGUAGGCAGGCCAGCAUCAGUUUGGGCGGUAGGAUAAAGGUCUCUGUCACGUACCUCCUUUCGGGGAGGCCUUAUAGGGGAGACGACAUACUACCAGCCUGGACUGAGGUCCGCGCAUCUGCUAGGAUGCUGGCGUAA